This 70-nucleotide transfer RNA is filed under the name Stenocercus eunetopsis. RNAcentral describes it as "tRNA-Trp". Lineage: Eukaryota; Metazoa; Chordata; Lepidosauria; Squamata; Tropiduridae. The record is from RNAcentral.
AGAAACUUAGGAUAACACAAACCAAGGACCUUCAAAGCCCCAAACAGAGAUGAAACCUCUCUAGUUUCUG